AGAGUUCAGACAAAAUUUCUUUUCGAAAUUUAUAAAAAUGCAAUCGGCAUCAGAAAGAGAAUCAAAUGCAGCAACUUUUGAAAUGUGAAAGAAUAUGAAAACCCAUUUCAAAUACCAAUUAAAUUAAAAAAAAUAACUCUGAAAGGCUAGGGUCAGAUGUUGGAUCAAAAUCCUCAUAAUUAUUGGGUUCUAUAGGAAUACAAACACGACCUGUAAUAAAGCAAAAAAACCAUUCAAAUCACAGUAAAAUUCUCUAUAUUCAGAAACAUAAAGACCCAUGAUUUAAGUAACAUAACUUUUGAUUAAAAUAGAACCCAUGAUUUAAAAGAGAACAAGUGCAGUACUUUAAACAACAGAACUUAAAAUACAUGAUUUUAAACAGAGAAAUACCUAAUCAUAUUGGAGAAAUAUGACUGGGUUUUAAACAGAGAAAUAUUUUAAAUGAAGAUUGUAUUGUGAUUAUGAUUUAGGGAGGAUUGUAUUGUGAAAUAUUUUUCAUCAAGAACAUAAAACUAAACCAGAGGAUGUCAUAGAACUCACCAAAUCCUCACUGUCCUCACUGCGGAAGAUGAAAAACUCGAUCACUGUCCUCACUGCGUCUGCCGGAAGAUGAAGAAAUCACGGUCGCCGAUGCUGGAAUGGAAUGCAAUGCAAGAAAUCGAUCGGAACGAUUGGGUUUCGGAGAAAUUGAAAAUCGGGAGGGGUUCGGGUUUAGAGAUUUGGGGAUUUUAAUUAGGUUGGGGUUUAGG
RNAcentral lists this long non-coding RNA (749 nucleotides) under Zostera marina. Its description in RNAcentral is "long non-coding RNA (ZMAR_LNC004510)". The record is from RNAcentral. Lineage: Eukaryota; Viridiplantae; Streptophyta; Magnoliopsida; Alismatales; Zosteraceae.